Molecule: ribosomal RNA, 466 nt
Filed under: uncultured bacterium
Lineage: Bacteria
Description: partial 16S ribosomal RNA
Rfam family: Bacterial small subunit ribosomal RNA
Source: RNAcentral
GACGAACGCUGGCGGCGUGCUUAGCACAUGCAAGUCGAACGGAAAGGCCCUGCUUGCAGGGUACUCGAGUGGCGAACGGGUGAGUAACACGUGGGUGAUCUGCCCUGCACUUCGGGAUAAGCUUGGGAAACUGGGUCUAAUACCGGAUAGGAGCCAUCUUUAGUGUGGUGGUUGGAAAGUUUUUUCGGUGUAGGAUGAGCUCGCGGCCUAUCAGCUUGUUGGUGGGGUAAUGGCCUACCAAGGCGGCGACGGGUAGCCGGCCUGAGAGGGUGUACGGCCACAUUGGGACUGAGAUACGGCCCAGACUCCUACGGGAGGCAGCAGUGGGGAAUAUUGCACAAUGGGCGCAAGCCUGAUGCAGCGACGCCGCGUGGGGGAUGAAGGCCUUCGGGUUGUAAACUCCUUUCGCUAGGGACGAAGCUUUUUUGUGACGGUACCUAGAUAAGAAGCACCGGCUAACUACGUG